Conger conger (European conger) is the source of this 614-nucleotide long non-coding RNA. RefSeq lists it as uncharacterized. Lineage: Eukaryota; Metazoa; Chordata; Actinopteri; Anguilliformes; Congridae. The transcript has 3 exons. The record is from RefSeq and is a predicted model, not a curated record.
UGAAUGGUAGCAGCCCCUGUGCUGGGAGAGUGGAGGUUUACCAUCAGGGAGAGUGGGUGACAGUGUGUGAUUAUCAGUGGGACAUGAGUGAUGCUGGAGUGGUGUGCAGACAGCUGGGCUGUGGAGAUGCUGUAGAUGCACGAGGAGAGGGUCACUUUGGACCAGGGUCUGGGAGAAUAUGGAUGGGUGUUGUGUACUGCAGUGGAUCAGAAUCCUCACUGAAGCAGUGUGAGUCACCAGGAUGGGGCAAACAUUACUGUAAUCAUGAAGAGGAUGUUGGAGUGACCUGCUCAGAGUUUCACUGUAAUCAUGGAGCGGAUGUUGGAGUGAUCUGCUCAGAGACACCCCGGGCUGUCUUGACGGUCUCUCCACAUGGGCGGAUAUAUAGAGGACAAGCUGUCAGUCUCUCUUGUGAGGUCACAGUGCCCUCUGCUGGCUGGGAAUAUUACUGGUACAAAGGAGAUGGAUCAAGUGGCACUGCCCUCAUUGCCAGUACAGCUGAAGGCUCGUACACCCUCAGUGCUGCAGCUCUUGCACACACCGGGGAGUACAGCUGCAGAGCAGGGAGGAGCAACCCAGUCUGGUACACAGAGUACAGUCACCCUGUCCACAUA